AAGUCGUAACAAGGUUUCCGUAGGUGAACCUGCGGUUGGAUCAUUAACAAAUUCAAACCCGAAAAGGUUAAGGAGGGUUAAACCUUCUUAACUUUUUUACACACAAUGUGAACUGUUUAUUGUCUCUGGUGGUGUUAAAAGGCUUUUUCUCUUAUGGGGGGAAAGUUGGGGUGUUCUUCACCUUACCCACCGAUUUUUUAAAUCUUAAUAUUUACUUAACUGGUCUUUAAAAAAAUAAAAAGUUUAAUUAAAAAACAACUUUUGGCAACGGAUCUCUAGGCUCUU
This 285-nucleotide unclassified non-coding RNA is filed under the name fungal sp. Its description in RNAcentral is "partial internal transcribed spacer region". The stretch from base 1 to 46 matches the Rfam family "Eukaryotic small subunit ribosomal RNA", at positions 1786 to 1831 of the family's 1831-position model. The record is from RNAcentral. Lineage: Eukaryota; Fungi.